This is a long non-coding RNA of Aphis gossypii (cotton aphid), 2435 nucleotides long. RefSeq lists it as uncharacterized. The record is from RefSeq and is a predicted model, not a curated record. The transcript has 3 exons. NCBI's taxonomy places the organism in Eukaryota, Metazoa, Arthropoda, Insecta, Hemiptera, Aphididae.
CACACACACCGACACGGGACAUGUGUAUACACUAACGUCGUAGGUCUACGUGUACACGACCACGGCGGCGGCACGCACUUGCGUGGCCUACAUAAUAUAAUAUAAACACAUCGUGUGCGCUGCGGCCACGGCGAUAAGAUUUGUGCAAGCGCUGGACGGGGGGGCGGGGACGUCGAUGGUCGCCGCACGUGGGACGGUCGUCGUAGCCGCCGAACGCGAUUCUCGACGACGACCCGGGGGGGGACCGUAUAGGCAUAUUUUUUUUAAUAUCGUUUUUUACGUACACACAUCUCCGGCCAGACUCGCUCCCGCCACAAACGCGUCAUUGUUUAUAUAUUUUAUUGUGUGUGUGCAGCGUGUAUUUUUUGUUUCUACAAACUCGUUUUCCCGCAGCGUACAACCUAUAGGUACCUAUAGGGCGGCUGCAGUAUAUAGAUGGACGCCACGCGACGAUCUUCGGCCGCAGAGACGUAUAUUCCUGCGGGAGGACGAUGUCUCCGGCGGGGAAGUGGCGAUCGAGACCAGCUGGAUAUUGUAGGGGUGCGCAGCCGGGCUGAUGCGACACGUCUUUAUAUGUUAUUAUAAAGUCGUUACAAAUUAAUAUAAUAUAAUAAUUAGUAGGUAUAUAAAUAUUAUACCUAUUAACUAAAUCACAAUAAUAACUCUCGAUACAUAUGUAUCCUAAAUUAUGUAUAUUGAAUUUAUUUAUAUUAUUAUUUUUAAAUUAUAUCGAUGACAAUCGUCUAUAGAGUGUGUCUUCAAAAAAUCAAGCUUUUAUACCUGUCGCUAAAGUGGUUUUAACGUUGAGUUUACUCGUAGAAAGAAACAGAAUUAAAUAAUUAUAGACGUAGGGGGCGAGUGCUACGCCCAUGAGCGUUGUGUAGCAUGCAAGUAAAACAAAUUCAAAACUACAUAUUUGACUGCAAUAAUAGUUGUAAAAUCGUUUAAUAUGCAGGACGAAUAAACUACAAUCUGUUCUGGUUACAGGAAAUCUUUUUGAAAAUUAUGUUGCUUUUUACCCAGAGUGCCACAAUUACAACCUGUUGAAGUCUCUGUAAAAAAAUAUUUUAAAGGACCGUAGGCGGUAUGCGUAUAGAGUGUGACGUAACUAGUAACUAUCUACAAUCUACCUGGUUGAAAAUUAAACUUCCAAGUAAUACAAGUCGACAACAGUUAAACGACUGUACACUGACGAAACGCGGCAAGUCGCACGUGAACAGGUGAGAUCCUGCAUACAUAAAAUCGACUUUGAACGAUGUGAUGGCAGUACAAAAGAAAAUCACGAAAAUCGGUACCAGCACGAAUAUACGAAAGAAGCAGCAAUAAGUUUUAGACGACUGCACAGCAUCGUUUAAAAACUAUGUCUAGUAUCGUAUUCCGCAGUAAUGCAUGCUGUCCAACAGAGUGCGGUGAUAGUGCGAUGGCAAGACAACGACAGGAGGAGCCGAAAUCGACUAGUUUUAAGACGCGGCCGCCCAAACGUCUGGACGGCUGUAUAAGAACGCAUCCGGCUCGAUGACCUACAUCCGGGAUCGCCGUCGGCUUGUACCAACACGCGCAUCUCUUAUGAACAGCCCAAUAAAAUUCGACCAGUUGAAUUUGUCGUGGCCACUUUUCCCCCUCUAUUUUUCUCUCUCAUUCCUUCUCUUUAUCAUUCUUUUUUUCUUUCUCUGUUCAUAUUUUUAUAUUUUACUCACACGUUCCCCACUUUUUUCCUUUCCUUUACUAUUUUUCUAUUUCAAUGACAGAUUUUUUUCCAUAGGUAUAGUUCUUGGGUAAACAUUAUAAUAUUAUGUAUAUCUGUGUUUAUGGCUCGUCAUUUAUUUAUAUUGUUACCAGUAAGAUCUGUUAUUAAAAUAUAAUAAUGAGCUUUGCAUACUUACAUUCUUCCGGCAAUGGUAGCUAGAUAUAAUGUUUUUAUUUUUGUAUUUAAAUCACAUUUAUCUUUUACACAAUAUAACGCAAAUCUUAAUAUUAAAAUAAAUACAUUUUACUCCACUAUUAUAUGCAAAUUAUUACAUUUUUUUUUUAGUAGGUCUUUUUAUUUAAUUUUUUAUACGAAUAAAAACGUGAAAUUUAAAAGUGCUUCUUAAAAUACUAUAACAAUAUUAUUUAUUUUAUUCAAAUCCAUAAAAAGUAUACAAUUAUACUAUAACCUUAACAAUUUUUUUAAUCUUAUUAUGUUUAUAUAUUUGUAUGUAUUAUUUCAAUAUUUCAGUGUUUUGGAAAAAAAUAGUACACUAAAAUGUUGAAGAGAUUUAUUGUAAUAAUUGUUUCAAUUUUUAAACGCGUUUGUUAUUUAAAACCUUUAACCAAGUUAUAUAGAUAUUAGAUACUCACGUAAAAUAAACUUAUCAUGGUUGCGCGAACAUACAGAUCAAGUGUUCACUUCUUUCCAUUGUUCCAAAAACAUAUUUUAGCCAGCAAAUGUAUGA